GACGAACGCUGGCGGCGUGCUUAACACAUGCAAGUCGAACGGAAAGGCCCUGCUUUUGUGGGGUGCUCGAGUGGCGAACGGGUGAGUAACACGUGAGUAACCUGCCCUUGACUUUGGGAUAACUUCAGGAAACUGGGGCUAAUACCGGAUAGGAGCUCCUGCUGCAUGGUGUGGGUUGGAAAGUUUCGGCGGUUGGGGAUGGACUCGCGGCUUAUCAGCUUGUUGGUGGGGUAGUGGCUUACCAAGGCUUUGACGGGUAGCCGGCCUGAGAGGGUGACCGGCGACAUUGGGACUGAGAGACGGCCCAGACUCCAACGGGAGGCAGCAGUGGGGAAUAUUGCACAAUGGGCGGAAGCCUGAUGCAGCAACGCCGCGUGCGGGAUGACGGCCUUCGGGUUGUAAACCGCUUUCGCCUGUGACGAAGCGUGAGUGACGGUAAUGGGUAAAGAAGCACCGGCUAACUACGUG
RNAcentral lists this ribosomal RNA (468 nucleotides) under uncultured bacterium. Its description in RNAcentral is "partial 16S ribosomal RNA". It matches the Rfam family "Bacterial small subunit ribosomal RNA", at positions 28 to 507 of the family's 1533-position model. The record is from RNAcentral.